Non-coding RNA from Podarcis lilfordi (Lilford's wall lizard), 319 nucleotides. The record is from the annotation of a GenBank genome assembly. Lineage: Eukaryota; Metazoa; Chordata; Lepidosauria; Squamata; Lacertidae.
GUCUCCUUCUUUGGAGGUCUUUAAGCAGAGGCUUGACAACCAUAUGUCAGGAGUGCUCUGAUGGUGUUUCCUGCUUGGCAGAGGGUUGGACUCGAUGGCCCUUGUGGUCUCUUCCAACUCUAUGAUUCUAUGAUUCUAGGUUCCCACGGAAAAUGUUGAUUUCACAUACACACUUGUGGGGCCUGAACUGGUGGUGAAGACCAGGAGUGGGUCCUCUGGGUUGUAGCAGAGAGAGAGAAAGCAGUAGAGAUGUUGGGCCCAUGUGCAACAGCCGUGAAAAAGGCAAAUUCCACACUAGGGAUCAUCAGGAAAGGAAUUG